This 71-nucleotide transfer RNA is filed under the name Tetraogallus himalayensis (Himalayan snowcock). Its description in RNAcentral is "tRNA-Val". The record is from RNAcentral. RNAcentral also lists the same sequence under 1 other name. Lineage: Eukaryota; Metazoa; Chordata; Aves; Galliformes; Phasianidae.
CAAGGCGUAGCUAUAAACCACAAAGCAUUCAGCUUACACCUGAAAGAUGCCCUAAGACUGGGUCGCCUUGA